AUGCAGUCGAGCGGUAGCACAGAGAGCUUGCUCUCGGGUGACGAGCGGCGGACGGGUGAGUAAUGUCUGGGAAACUGCCUGAUGGAGGGGGAUAACUACUGGAAACGGUAGCUAAUACCGCAUAAUGUCGCAAGACCAAAGUGGGGGACCUUCGGGCCUCAUGCCAUCAGAUGUGCCCAGAUGGGAUUAGCUAGUAGGUGGGGUAACGGCUCACCUAGGCGACGAUCCCUAGCUGGUCUGAGAGGAUGACCAGCCACACUGGAACUGAGACACGGUCCAGACUCCUACGGGAGGCAGCAGUGGGGAAUAUUGCACAAUGGGCGCAAGCCUGAUGCAGCCAUGCCGCGUGUGUGAAGAAGGCCUUCGGGUUGUAAAGCACUUUCAGCCGGGAG
This 392-nucleotide ribosomal RNA is filed under the name Klebsiella pneumoniae. Its description in RNAcentral is "bacterial SSU rRNA". It matches the Rfam family "Bacterial small subunit ribosomal RNA", at positions 55 to 446 of the family's 1533-position model. Lineage: Bacteria; Pseudomonadati; Pseudomonadota; Gammaproteobacteria; Enterobacterales; Enterobacteriaceae. The record is from RNAcentral.